GACGAACGCUGGCGGCGUGCUUAACACAUGCAAGUCGAGCGGUAAGGCCCUUUCGGGGGUACACGAGCGGCGAACGGGUGAGUAACACGUGGGUGACCUGCCCUCAGCUCUGGGAUAAGCCUGGGAAACCGGGUCUAAUACUGGAUAUGACUCCAUGACGCAUGUUGUGGGGUGGAAAGCCUUGUGCGGCUGAGGAUGGGCCCGCGGCCUAUCAGCUUGUUGGUGGGGUGAUGGCCUACCAAGGCGACGACGGGUAGCCGGCCUGAGAGGG
RNAcentral lists this ribosomal RNA (271 nucleotides) under uncultured bacterium. RNAcentral describes it as "partial 16S ribosomal RNA". It matches the Rfam family "Bacterial small subunit ribosomal RNA", at positions 28 to 300 of the family's 1533-position model. The record is from RNAcentral.